CUCUGGAAGAGGUGGAGUUUAAAGCACUGAUAUCUGAUGUGACCUUAAACUUCAAGUCUGUUAGAGAGAGCAUAAGAAACACACACAAUGAUUCUCCAUUCUGUCAUUCUGCUUUCUGCCUUUGUGUAUGCAACAUAUGGAAAUGAAAUCAAACCAACCAAAACAGAGAAGUUUGCUGAUGAGGGUUCAAGUGUUAAAUUAUCCUGCAGUUAUUCAUCUGCAGACUAUCUUCACUGGUACCGUCAGUAUCCCGGAUCAGCUCCUGAGUUCAUUGUGCUCAUCUCAGAUGGUGUAAAACAAGCUCAGGAGUCUUAUGUAGAUUCCAGAUUCACUGCCAAAGUCACCAAAGACAAAGAAAACCAUGUGGAUCUGGAGAUCUCCUCUGCAUCUAUAUCAGACUCUGCUCUGUACUACUGCGCUCUGGAGCCCACAGUGACAGGAAACACAAGAACACUGUGUGAUGACUGCAGACCAGAUUAG
Molecule: non-coding RNA, 480 nt
Organism: Onychostoma macrolepis
Lineage: Eukaryota; Metazoa; Chordata; Actinopteri; Cypriniformes; Cyprinidae
Source: the annotation of a RefSeq genome assembly